AACGAACGCUGGCGGCAUGCCUAACACAUGCAAGUCGAACGAGACCUUCGGGUCUAGUGGCGCACGGGUGCGUAACGCGUGGGAACCUGCCCUUAGGUUCGGAAUAACUCCCCGAAAGGGGUGCUAAUACCGGAUAAUGUCUUCGGACCAAAGAUUUAUCGCCUUUGGAUGGGCCCGCGUUGGAUUAGCUUGUUGGUAGGGUAAAAGCCUACCAAGGCGACGAUCCAUAGCUGGUCUGAGAGGAUGAUCAGCCACACUGGGACUGAGACACGGCCCAGACUCCUACGGAAGGCAGCAGUGGGGAAUAAGGGACAAUGGGCGAAAGCAUGAUCCAGCAAUGCCGCGUGAGUGAUGAAGGCAUUAGGAUUGUAAAGCUCUUUUACCCGGGAUGAUAAUGACAGUACCGGGAGAAUAAGCUCCGGCUAACUCCGU
RNAcentral lists this ribosomal RNA (432 nucleotides) under uncultured bacterium. Its description in RNAcentral is "partial 16S ribosomal RNA". It matches the Rfam family "Bacterial small subunit ribosomal RNA", at positions 29 to 506 of the family's 1533-position model. The record is from RNAcentral.